Molecule: ribosomal RNA, 496 nt
Filed under: uncultured bacterium
Lineage: Bacteria
Description: partial 16S ribosomal RNA
Rfam family: Bacterial small subunit ribosomal RNA
Source: RNAcentral
AUUGAACGCUGGCGGCAUGCCUUACACAUGCAAGUCGAACGGUAGAGGGGGCAACCCCUUGAGAGUGGCGAACGGGUGAGUAAUGCAUCGGAACGUGCCCAGUCGUGGGGGAUAGUCCGGGGAAACCCGGAUUAAUACCGCAUACGACCUGAGGGUGAAAGCGGGGGACCGAAAGGCCUCGCGCGAUUGGAGCGGCCGAUGUCGGAUUAGGUAGUUGGUGGGGUAAAGGCCGACCAAGCCUGCGAUCCGUAGCUGGUCUGAGAGGACGACCAGCCACACUGGGACUGAGACACGGCCCAGACUCCGACGGGGGGCAGCAGUGGGGAAUUUUGGACAAUGGGCGCAAGCCUGAUCCAGCCAUGCCGCGUGCGGGAAGAAGGCCUUCGGGUUGUAAACCGCUUUUGUCAGGGAAGAAAUCCUUUGGACUAAUACUCUGGGGGGAUGACGGUACCUGAAGAAUAAGCACCGGCUAACUACGUGCCAGCCGCCGCCGUAA